GGGCGGGGGGAACCCCGGGGGCAGCCGCUCCCCUGAGGCAGCCACGCGGUGCCGUUGCAGAUGAGCAGGGCGAAGGCGGACGAGGAGGAGUACUGGCACAGCUCCAAGUUCCGGGCCUUCACCUUCGACGACGAGGAUGAUGAGCUCUCGCAGCUAAAGGAAUCCAAACGGGCAGUAAAUAGUCUUCGAGAUAUUGUUGAUGAUGAUGAUGAUGACGACCUUGAGAGGGUCAGCUGGAGUGGAGAACCUGUGGGAAGUAUCUCCUGGUCAAUCAAAGAGACAGCCUCCAGCAGCACUAGCUCGCUGGAUGGCCGAGACUCCAGCCUGCAGAAGGGCUCUUCCUCCUAUGCUGCUUUUCCCAAACAAGUAUCCUCCUACUCCCUAAGCAGCCUGUUCAAAGGACGAAACAAACUUCCAAGUUUCCAGUCCCUUUCAGAUGCCCUUUCUGACACAGGAGUUAAAAACUAUGCCCCAGAGCUGCGCAGACCAAAAGCUGAAUAUAAGGAUUACAGCAGUGAUUGGAGCCCCAGAGAUACAGUCAGGCGAAUGCAGAGGGGCAAGGUGUGCUCUUUAGAGAGAUUCCGCUCCCUGCAGGACAAGCUGGUGCUCUUGGAUGAAGCUGUGUCUGGACAUGAUGGGAAUGUCAUUACAGCUGUCCUGAUAUUCCUGAAACGGACGCUAAGGAGAGAGAUCUUGUUUCGGGAGCUGGAAGUGCGGCAGGUGGCCUUGUGUCAUCUGAUCCAUUUCCUCAAAGAGACGGGUGAGCAGAAGUUUCUUCUGGAUCUGCUCAGGUUCCUUGACAGAACUGAGGAAGUUGCUCUGUCCCAGUACCGAGAGCAUUUGAACAUCCAGGAUGUAGAAAAAAGGCGGGAAUUUCUGAAAGGCUGCAUCGGGCUGCCAUUUUCAGCUGAGGAUACCUCCCACAUCCAAGACCAUUAUACCCUGCUGGAGCGACAGAUCAUCAUUGAGGCCAAUGAUCGGCACUUAGAGUCGUCUGGGCAGUCGGAGAUAUUUCGGAAAUAUCCUCGCAAGGCUUCAAUUCUCAACAUGCCACUCGUGACCACCCUCUUCUAUGCCUGUUUCUACCACUACACAGAGACUGAGGGAACGUUCAGCAGCCCGAGCAACCUGAAGAAAACAUUUAAGAUUCCUGAUAAGCAGUAUGUGCUGACUGCCCUGGCUGCCCGUGCCAAGCUGCGAGCCUGGGAUGACGUGGAUGCCCUCUUCACCACCAAGAACUGGCUGGGCUACACCAAGAAGAAGGCACCUAUUGGCUUCCACCGGGUAGUGGAGAUUUUGCAAAGGAACAAUGCUCCUGUGCAGGUGCUGCAGGAGUACGUGCGCUUGGUAGAGGAUGUGGAGACGCGGUUGAACCUCGCCACCAAAUACAAGUGCCAUGAUGUUGUCAUUGAGACAUACAGGGAUCUGAAGGAUCGCAUCCAGCUGACAGCAUAUAAAUGCAAGGUGGAGCGAGGCUCUGCAGAUGAAGAGAAGAUAAACAGCAUUCUCAACAACAUGCAAAUCCGAUGGAAGAACUGAGCACCUGUGAAGCAGACUGCUUGGGCGUUGCCUUGCCAGGUAAAGAGGAAACUGCAAAACCCGGUCCAGUGCCAACAGCGCAACUCUGUUACUACUCAUUGCAUCAUCAACACUCCUCAGUGACAGUGGGUGCCUGUGGCUUGUGGGACAGUGGCAGUCAGGCUACUGGUUGAAGGCAGCUGCUGCAGUGUAGCCAGCAAACCCAUGGUACUGAUCCACCAAGACUGAUUCUUUUUGGAAUCUGAUUCUCUUCGACUUGGCUGUAAGCCACGCACCACUUUUGUUGGAAAGAAGGGAAGUUGAUGGCCCCAGCAUGUUUGCUCUGAGUGGCUUAUUCUCACAAGAGGAACAGGAAAAAAGGUGUUGUAUGCACUCCUGCAGAGAGCCAAGACAGCAGCCUCUGCCAGUAUCCUUGUAGUGGCACUCUGCAACUCUUGGAAGAUCCUUUCAUCAGGGAAGAACAGGCACCUGAUGUGGAGCUGGUUAAAGCCCUUCUGCGUUGAAUGGAAAGUAAGGAGGGAUCUCUCUCAGUUGGCACAAACCUGCUGGCCCCAGCAGCAGUUUUAUAUGACAGUGUUAUGCCAGGAAGGAUUGAAUUGCACUUUCUCAAAAACACAACUCCUCAGGCAACUGCUGGCUUCAUCCUUCCAGAACUUACUGGAAUUCCUUAAAUAAAGCUCUCUCUUUCUCCUUUGGCUGU
RNA transcript from Cuculus canorus (common cuckoo), 2239 nucleotides. It is a transcript of the gene named VPS33B interacting protein, apical-basolateral polarity regulator, spe-39 homolog, with no coding region annotated. NCBI's taxonomy places the organism in Eukaryota, Metazoa, Chordata, Aves, Cuculiformes, Cuculidae. The record is from RefSeq and is a predicted model, not a curated record. The transcript is spliced from 20 exons.